CGUAUCACUUAAAGCGAUUCAGCGGGUUACGAUUGACGGAGCGAAGCGACGUCAAAGCGUAUACAAAGUCGAGUCGGUUUAAGGAUACGUUCGUUGGGUAGGGGAGCGUUCUGUAAGCCUGUGAAGGUGGCCUGUGAGGGUUGCUGGAGGUAUCAGAAGUGCGAAUGCUGACAUAAGUAACGAUAAAGCGGGUGAAAAGCCCGCUCGCCGGAAGACCAAGGGUUCCUGUCCAACGUUAAUCGGGGCAGGGUGAGUCGACCCCUAAGGCGAGGCCGAAAGGCGUAGUCGAUGGGAAACGGGUUAAUAUUCCCGUACUUGGUGUUACUGCGAAGGGGGGACGGAGAAGGCUAUGUUGGCCGGGCGACGGUUGUCCCGGUUUAAGCGUGUAGGCUGGUUUUCCAGGCAAAUCCGGAAAAUCAAGGCUGAGGCGUGAUGACGAGGCACUACGGUGCUGAAGCAACAAAUGCCCUGCUUCCAGGAAAAGCCUCUAAGCAUCAGGUAACAUCAAAUCGUACCCCAAACCGACACAGGUGGUCAGGUAGAGAAUACCAAGGCGCUUGAGAGAACUCGGGUGAAGGAACUAGGCAAAAUGGUGCCGUAACUUCGGGAGAAGGCACGCUGACACGUAGGUGAAGUGAUUUACUCACGGAGCUGAAGUCAGUCGAAGAUACCAGCUGGCUGCAACUGUUUAUUAAAAACACAGCACUGUGCAAACACGAAAGUGGACGUAUACGGUGUGACGCCUGCCCGGUGCCGGAAGGUUAAUUGAUGGGGUCAGCGCAAGCGAAGCUCCUGAUCGAAGCCCCGGUAAACGGCGGCCGUAACUAUAACGGUCCUAAGGUAGCGAAAUUCCUUGUCGGGUAAGUUCCGACCUGCACGAAUGGCGUAAUGAUGGCCAGGCUGUCUCCACCCGAGACUCAGUGAAAUUGAACUCGCUGUGAAGAUGCAGUGUACCCGCGGCAAGACGGAAAGACCCCGUGAACCUUUACUAUAGCUUGACACUGAACAUUGAGCCUUGAUGUGUAGGAUAGGUGGGAGGCUUUGAAGUGUGGACGCCAGUCUGCAUGGAGCCGACCUUGAAAUACCACCCUUUAAUGUUUGAUGUUCUAACGUGGACCCGUUACCCGGGUUGCGGACAGUGUCUGGUGGGUAGUUUGACUGGGGCGGUCUCCUCCUAAAGAGUAACGGAGGAGCACGAAGGUUGGCUAAUCCUGGUCGGACAUCAGGAGGUUAGUGCAAUGGCAUAAGCCAGCUUGACUGCGAGCGUGACGGCGCGAGCAGGUGCGAAAGCAGGUCAUAGUGAUCCGGUGGUUCUGAAUGGAAGGGCCAUCGCUCAACGGAUAAAAGGUACUCCGGGGAUAACAGGCUGAUACCGCCCAAGAGUUCAUAUCGACGGCGGUGUUUGGCACCUCGAUGUCGGCUCAUCACAUCCUGGGGCUGAAGUAGGUCCCAAGGGUAUGGCUGUUCGCCAUUUAAAGUGGUACGCGAGCUGGGUUUAGAACGUCGUGAGACAGUUCGGUCCCUAUCUGCCGUGGGCGCUGGAGAACUGAGGGGGGCUGCUCCUAGUACGAGAGGACCGGAGUGGACGCAUCACUGGUGUUCGGGUUGUCAUGCCAAUGGCACUGCCCGGUAGCUAAAUGCGGAAGAGAUAAGUGCUGAAAGCAUCUAAGCACGAAACUUGCCCCGAG
Molecule: ribosomal RNA, 1688 nt
Filed under: Salmonella enterica subsp. enterica serovar Enteritidis
Lineage: Bacteria; Pseudomonadati; Pseudomonadota; Gammaproteobacteria; Enterobacterales; Enterobacteriaceae
Description: partial 23S ribosomal RNA
Rfam family: Bacterial large subunit ribosomal RNA
Source: RNAcentral